AGAGGCUGGAGGGUCCCUGUGAGCUCCUCGCCUGCACCUCAAGUGGUCUUCCCACCACAUUUUCUGCAUGGAAACAACUUGGUUUCUUUACAGUGAAUAACUGGAGAGUUCUCAGUCUCUCCAUCAGCUGUGGGUUUAGGGAAGAUGAUUUUCAUUUAGCACGUUUAUCUUUGUGUGGAUUCUCUAAGACAGAAAGGACUAGACAGACAACAAGGCACAUGCCUUUAACUCCAACACUUGGGAGACUGAGGCAGGAGGAUCUCGAGUUUGAGGCCAUCCUGGACUUUAUAGUGAGACUCUGUAUUAAAAUUCAGAAAAUCAAAUCAAACCAGAAGAAUGGCAGGGGCUGAGUCAGAGCCACACAGCCCAUGUGACAGACACUAACUCUUUAGACAUGAACCUCACCCGACUAGAUAUUGUUCUUGGUUUGCCCUGCCCUGCCCCUGAUCUGGGGGUUGUCCCAGGUCUGGCAUCAUUUGACCCAUUUAGCUUGUUAUUUGGCCCAUA
This 507-nucleotide long non-coding RNA is filed under the name Rattus norvegicus (Norway rat). RNAcentral's name for it is "long non-coding RNA NONRATT001095". The record is from RNAcentral. Lineage: Eukaryota; Metazoa; Chordata; Mammalia; Rodentia; Muridae.